AUCUAUGUAUUUAAAUUUAAAAGUGGCAUAAAACAAAAGAAGUGAAAAAAAAAACGUAAAAAAAAAAAGGAAAUAGGUUUUUUUUGUAUAAGUUUUUUGUAACGACUAAUAUAUGUUCAGUGAAGAAAGAGAGCAGAUAAAUCCAUAAAGAGAACAAAAAAUUUAAAAUAAUAGCUGAGGUGAGAUUGAGUUUUGGCGGCCGGCACGGUGGUUGGCUUCGGAGUGACCGACGGUCCUAGAGCAAGAAAAUUUUAUUCCCAAGGUGAUGUGGAGGUUGUGCUGAACAUAAGAUUGAUCCGUCGAUAGACCCGGAUAACCAAGUAACUUUACUAGCCAAAACCAAUCUCACCCCUAUAUUUAUAUAAGUGUUAACUACAUAUACAUAUAUAUAUAUAUCUCUUUGUGCGUUCUCGUUACCCUUUACGCCAAUCCGGCGGGAUAGGAAAAAAGGAUUCGGUUCCUGGCGAAUCGACUCUAGGAUUUGCUUAUAUAUAUAUAGAUAUAUACGUAUACCUAGCUGUCCAACAAAUAACAAAGGAAAAAUUAGUAACGUGACAUUGAAACAACAAAUAUUCAAAUUUAUAACGACUUUAUUUUGUAACUCCUUGUAUCGGUAUAUGUGUCUAGAGUGCGUCGUUAUUUUUUUGUUAGUGUCGAGUAAGCAUUACGGGUAAAGUUCGUCGGGGCGGCGUAGGUUCCCCAUACCCCUCCCUGUCAAAGUAGAGGCAACAUUUUGCAUCCCUUUAGCUACCUAUAGAGAGCUCUUGGUAGGUAGGAUAAAAGAGGAAUUUAUACAGCUGCUUCAUAAAAGGAAGACGGCGUAGAUUUCCGGGGAGAACAAGGGAACUUAAGUCUCCUCCAUACGGAGAAAGUCCCUGUUUUUUUGUUUGUUUUUGGAUUAGGUACACUAGGUACAUAUAUACUUCUGAGGAGAAAUUUUGUAUUUUCCUUUGAUUUUUUUUAUAUUUAAGUUAUUUCAAAUUUUCAAUUUCUUUUAAAUUUACCAAUUUUCUAAUUUUCAAAUUUCGAAAUUAUUCUUUAUAUUUUUUUUAUAUAUUCCAUUUUUGUUUGUUACAAGUCUGUUUAAAUAAAAUGUAAGUCACGUUACAGUGUAGUCGAUUUGUUGUGUUUUUUUUUUGAUUUUAUCAACUUUUGGUGUUCAGAACUUAAAUAUUAUGGAGUGCUGAUUACAAUUUUCAGAGGAGGUGUGGUAGGGCUGGAUAAUGCUCUUCAGUGAACCGGGUUCUUCAACGUAAUCUUCAGCUUCAAAGACUAGUAAGGGGAGUUCGAAAGUAAAGGCCAGUCGAACUCCAGGUUGGGUGGGUACGGCCAUGCUGCAACAACAGCCGCAGCGUUCCCGAGGUGUGUCAGGUCCGGCGUGAAUGUCGUGUUAUCCGGUGAUAGUGUGUCAGGUCGAGCGUGAAUGUAGUGUAGUUUGGAGAUGGUGUGUCUUGUGAUGGUGUGUCGGUCGUAGUGUGUCGAGAGUUCUGUGUCUGGUGGCGGUGUGUAGGUUGUCCUGUGUUUGGUGUUCUUUACUUGUAGUGCUAGUUUGGAAGUCAUGUUUUGGUUGUAGUGUG
Eupeodes corollae is the source of this 1577-nucleotide long non-coding RNA. RefSeq lists it as uncharacterized. The transcript is spliced from 3 exons. NCBI's taxonomy places the organism in Eukaryota, Metazoa, Arthropoda, Insecta, Diptera, Syrphidae. The record is from RefSeq and is a predicted model, not a curated record.